GUCGUCAGCUCGUGCUGUGAAGUGUUGGGCUAAGUCCCGCAACGAGCGCAACCCCUGCUGCCUGUUGCCACCACGAGAGGUGGGGACUCAGCGGGACGCCGGUGACAAACCGGAGGAAGGUGGGGACGACGUCAAGUCAUCAUGGCCCUUAUGUCCUGGGCUACACACGUGCUACAAUGGCCGGUACAGAGCGCAGCGAGGCCGCGAGGCGGAGCGAAUCGCUUAAAGCCGGUCCCAGUACGGAUUGGAGUCUGCAACCCGACUCCAUGAAGUUGGAAUCGCUAGUAAUCGCGCAUCAGCAUGGCGCGGUGAAUACGUUCCCGGGCCUU
This 329-nucleotide ribosomal RNA is filed under the name uncultured Spirochaeta sp. RNAcentral describes it as "bacterial SSU rRNA". It matches the Rfam family "Bacterial small subunit ribosomal RNA", at positions 1051 to 1382 of the family's 1533-position model. Lineage: Bacteria; Pseudomonadati; Spirochaetota; Spirochaetia; Spirochaetales; Spirochaetaceae. The record is from RNAcentral.